RNAcentral lists this ribosomal RNA (451 nucleotides) under uncultured bacterium. RNAcentral describes it as "partial 16S ribosomal RNA". It matches the Rfam family "Bacterial small subunit ribosomal RNA", at positions 28 to 507 of the family's 1533-position model. The record is from RNAcentral.
GAUGAACGCUGGCGGCGUGCCUAACACAUGCAAGUCGAGCGGCAGCGAGGGGUGCUUGCACCCUGUCGGCGAGCGGCGGACGGCUGAGUAACGCGUGGGAACGUGCCCCAAAGUGAGGAAUAACUGCCCGAAAGGGUAGCUAAUACCGCAUAUUAUCUUCGGAUCAAAGGAUUUAUCCGCUUUGGGAGCGGCUCGCGUCGGAUUAGGUAGUUGGUGAGGUAAUGGCUCACCAAGCCGACGAUCCGUAGCUGGCCUGAGAGGAUGACCAGCCAGACUGGAACUGAGACACGGUCCAGACUCCUACGGGAGGCAGCAGUGAGGAAUCUUCCACAAUGGGCGAAAGCCUGAUGGAGCAACGCCGCGUGCAGGACGAAGGCCUUCGGGUUGUAAACUGCUUUUAUAAGUGAGGAAUAUGACGGUAACUUAUGAAUAAGGAUCGGCUAACUACGUG